Molecule: small RNA, 28 nt
Filed under: Bombyx mori (domestic silkworm)
Lineage: Eukaryota; Metazoa; Arthropoda; Insecta; Lepidoptera; Bombycidae
Description: ovarian small RNA-16248
Source: RNAcentral
GCAAGCAGUGGUGUAUAAACGAAAUGAA